This 376-nucleotide unclassified non-coding RNA is filed under the name uncultured bacterium. RNAcentral's name for it is "contains 16S-23S intergenic spacer region". The record is from RNAcentral.
UCCGGUUUGUCACCGGCAGUCUCAUUAGAGUGCCCAACUGAAUGUAGCAACUAAUGACAAGGGUUGCGCUCGUUGCGGGACUUAACCCAACAUCUCACGACACGAGCUGACGACAGCCAUGCAGCACCUGUGUUCCGAUUCCCUUUCGGACACCCUCACAUCUCUGUGAGGUUCCGUACAUGUCAAGGGUAGGUAAGGUUUUUCGCGUUGCAUCGAAUUAAACCACAUACUCCACCGCUUGUGCGGGCCCCCGUCAAUUCCUUUGAGUUUCAGUCUUGCGAUCGUACUCCCCAGGCGGAAUGCUUAAUGCGUUAGCUGCGCCACCGAAGAGCAAGCUCCCCAACGGCUGGCAUUCAUCGUUUACGGCGUGGACUAC